UGGGGAAUAUUGGACAAUGGGCGCAAGCCUGAUCCAGCAAUGCCGCGUGUGUGAAGAAGGCCUUCGGGUUGUAAAGCACUUUUAUCAGGAGCGAAAUACUACGGGUUAAUAACCCGUGGGGCUGACGGUACCUGAGGAAUAAGCACCGGCUAACUUCGUGCCAGCAGCCGCGGUAAUACGAAGGGUGCAAGCGUUAAUCGGAAUUACUGGGCGUAAAGGGUGCGUAGGCGGUUCGUUAAGUCUGUUGUGAAAUCCCCGGGCUCAACCUGGGAAUGGCAAUGGAUACUGGCAAGCUAGAGUGUGUCAGAGGAUGGUGGAAUUCCCGGUGUAGCGGUGAAAUGCGUAGAGAUCGGGAGGAACAUCAGUGGCGAAGGCGGCCAUCUGGGACAACACUGACGCUGAGGCACGAAAGCGUGGGGAGCAAACA
Molecule: ribosomal RNA, 427 nt
Filed under: uncultured Rhodanobacter sp.
Lineage: Bacteria; Pseudomonadati; Pseudomonadota; Gammaproteobacteria; Lysobacterales; Rhodanobacteraceae
Description: bacterial SSU rRNA
Rfam family: Bacterial small subunit ribosomal RNA
Source: RNAcentral